GCCACGGUGGUCUAGCGGUUAGAACGCUGGCCUUGUAAUCCCGGGGGUCUCGGGUUCGAUUCCCGGCGGUGCCC
Zootermopsis nevadensis is the source of this 74-nucleotide non-coding RNA. The record is from Rfam. Lineage: Eukaryota; Metazoa; Arthropoda; Insecta; Blattodea; Termopsidae.